AGAGUUUGAUCCUGGCUCAGGAUGAACGCUGGCGGCGUGCCUAACACAUGCAAGUCGAACGAGAAGCUAACUUCUGAUCCCUUCGGGGUGAUGAGGUUAGCAGAAAGUGGCGAAUGGGUGAGUAACGCGUGGGUAAUCUACCCUGUAAGUGGGGGAUAACCCUCCGAAAGGAGGGCUAAUACCGCAUAAUAUCUUCUCCCCAUAAGAAGAGAAGAUUAAAGAUGGCCUCUAUACUAUGCUAUCGCUUCAGGAUGAGCCUGCGUCCUAUUAGUUAGUUGGUGGGGUAAUGGCCUACCAAGACCACAAUGGGUAGCCGGUCUGAGAGGAUGUACGGCCACACUGGGACUGAGAUACGGCCCAGACUCCUACGGGAGGCAGCAGUGGGGAAUAUUGCGCAAUGGGGGAAACCCUGACGCAGCGACGCCGCGUGGAUGAUGAAGGCCCUUGGGUUGUAAAGCUCUUUUCUGGGGGAAGAGGAAGGACGGUACCCCAGGAAUAAGUCCCGGCUAACUACGUGCCAGCAGCCGCGGUAAUU
RNAcentral lists this ribosomal RNA (535 nucleotides) under uncultured Bacillota bacterium. RNAcentral's name for it is "bacterial SSU rRNA". It matches the Rfam family "Bacterial small subunit ribosomal RNA", at positions 8 to 525 of the family's 1533-position model. Lineage: Bacteria; Bacillati; Bacillota. The record is from RNAcentral.